UACGAAGGGGGCGAGCGUUGUUCGGAAUACUGGGCGUAAAGGGCGCGCAGGCGCCUUAGAAGUCAGAUGUGAAGCCCCGGGCUCAACCUGGGAAUGGCAUUUGAUACUCUGGAGGCUGGAGUACGGGAGAGGAGAGUGGAAUUCCCAGUUGUAGAGGUGAAAUUCGUAGAUAGUUGGGAAGAAACACCGGUGGCGAAGGCGGCUCUCUGGACCGUAACUGACGCUGAGGCGCGAAAGCGUGGGGAGCAAACAGG
Molecule: ribosomal RNA, 254 nt
Filed under: uncultured bacterium
Lineage: Bacteria
Description: partial 16S ribosomal RNA
Rfam family: Bacterial small subunit ribosomal RNA
Source: RNAcentral